RNAcentral lists this ribosomal RNA (394 nucleotides) under uncultured bacterium. RNAcentral's name for it is "partial 16S ribosomal RNA". It matches the Rfam family "Bacterial small subunit ribosomal RNA", at positions 338 to 729 of the family's 1533-position model. The record is from RNAcentral.
CCUACGGGGGACAGCAGUGAGGAAUAUUGGUCAAUGGGCGCAAGCCUGAACCAGCCAAGUAGCGUGAAGGAUGACUGCCCUACGGGUUGUAAACUUCUUUUAUAAGGGAAUAAAGUGAGUCACGUGUGCCUUAUUGCAUGUACUUUAUGAAUAAGGAUCGGUUAACUCCGUGCCAGCAGCCGCGGUAAUACGGAGGGUCCGGGCGUUAUCCGGAUUUAUUGGGUUUAAAGGGAGCGUAGGUGGGUUGUUAAGUCAGGUGUGAAAGUCCGCGGCUCAACCGUAGAAUUGCACUUGAAACUGGCAGUCUUGAGUACAUGUGAGGAUGGCGGAAUUCGUGGUGUAGCGGUGAAAUGCUUAGAUAUCACGAAGAACUCCGAUCGCGAAGGCAACUUUC